RNAcentral lists this ribosomal RNA (525 nucleotides) under Cyprinus carpio (common carp). RNAcentral describes it as "partial small subunit ribosomal RNA". It matches the Rfam family "Bacterial small subunit ribosomal RNA", at positions 26 to 930 of the family's 1533-position model. The record is from RNAcentral. Lineage: Eukaryota; Metazoa; Chordata; Actinopteri; Cypriniformes; Cyprinidae.
AUUAUCAGCUCUAACUCAACUUACACAUGCAAGUCUCCGCAACCCAGUGAAUAUGCCCUCAAUCCCCCCACCCGGGGACGAGGAGCGGGCAUCAGGCACAAACAUUAGCCCAAGACGCCUAGCCAAGCCACACCCCCAAGGGAAUUCAGCAGUGAUAAACAUUAAGCCAUAAGUGAAAACUUGACUCAGUUAGUGUUAAGAGGGCCGGUAAAACUCGUGCCAGCCACCGCGGUUAGACGAGAGGCCCUAGUUGAUAUUACAACGGCGUAAAGGGUGGUUAAGGAUAAACAAAAAUAAAGUCAAAUGGCCCCUUGGCCGUCAUACGCUUCUAGGAGUCCGAAGCCCUAAUACGAAAGUAACUUUAAUAAACCCACCUGACCCCACGAAAGCUGAGAAACAAACUGGGAUUAGAUACCCCACUAUGCUCAGCCGUAAACUCAGACAUCCAGCUACAAUUAGAUGUCCGCCAGGGUACUACGAGCAUUAGCUUAAAACCCAAAGGACCUGACGGUGUCUCAGACCCCU